GGCCUCGUUGCUUAGUUGGCUAGAGCGUUGGCUGUACUAAAGUCUUCCCCUUACUGCCGUGGGUUCAAAUCCCACAGAGGCCA
This is a non-coding RNA of Schistocephalus solidus, 83 nucleotides long. The record is from Rfam. Lineage: Eukaryota; Metazoa; Platyhelminthes; Cestoda; Diphyllobothriidea; Diphyllobothriidae.